Molecule: ribosomal RNA, 253 nt
Filed under: uncultured bacterium
Lineage: Bacteria
Description: partial 16S ribosomal RNA
Rfam family: Bacterial small subunit ribosomal RNA
Source: RNAcentral
UACGUAGGGGGCAAGCGUUGUCCGGAUUUACUGGGCGUAAAGCGCACGUAGGCGGCUUUGUAAGUUAGAGGUGAAAGCCCAGGGCUCAACCCUGGAAUUGCCUUUAAGACUGCAUCGCUUGAACAUCGGAGAGGUAAGUGGAAUUCCGAGUGUAGAGGUGAAAUUCGUAGAUAUUCGGAAGAACACCAGUGGCGAAGGCGACUUACUGGACGAUUGUUGACGCUGAGGUGCGAAAGCGUGGGGAGCAAAAAGG